This 300-nucleotide ribosomal RNA is filed under the name uncultured soil bacterium. RNAcentral describes it as "bacterial SSU rRNA". It matches the Rfam family "Bacterial small subunit ribosomal RNA", at positions 26 to 346 of the family's 1533-position model. The record is from RNAcentral.
AGAACGAACGCUGGCGGCAUGCCUAACACAUGCAAGUCGAACGAGACCUUCGGGUCUAGUGGCGCACGGGUGCGUAACGCGUGGGAAUCUGCCCUUGGGUACGGAAUAACAGUUAGAAAUGACUGCUAAUACCGUAUAAUGACUCCGGUCCAAAGAUUUAUCGCCCAGGGAUGAGCCCGCGUAGGAUUAGCUAGUUGGAGAGGUAAAGGCUCACCAAGGCGACGAUCCUUAGCUGGUCUGAGAGGAUGAUCAGCCACCACGUGGACGUGACGACGACCGGCCCACGACGUCCGUACGGGA